RNAcentral lists this ribosomal RNA (305 nucleotides) under uncultured bacterium. RNAcentral's name for it is "bacterial SSU rRNA". It matches the Rfam family "Bacterial small subunit ribosomal RNA", at positions 335 to 633 of the family's 1533-position model. The record is from RNAcentral.
GUCCUACGGGAGGCAGCAGUAGGGAAUUUUCGUCAAUGGGCGCAAGCCUGAACGAGCAAUGCCGCGUGAACGAGGAAGGUCUUCGGAUCGUAAAGUUCUGUUGAAGGGGAAAAAGAGCGGAGAGAGGAAAUGCUUCCUGAUUGAUAUUACCCUUCGAGGAAGUCACGGCUAACUACGUGCCAGCAGCCGCGGUAAUACGUAGGGAGCGAGCGUUGUCCGGAAUUACUGGAUGUAAAGGGAGCGUAGGCGGGACGGCAAGUCAGAUGUGAAAACUGAGGGCUCAACCUUCAGACUGCAUUUGAAAC